Molecule: long non-coding RNA, 605 nt
Organism: Drosophila pseudoobscura
Lineage: Eukaryota; Metazoa; Arthropoda; Insecta; Diptera; Drosophilidae
Exons: 2
Source: RefSeq, a predicted model, not a curated record
ACAUAUUCGAGUAUAGAGACUUGCUCAGUUCUUAAACUACAAGUUUAUGAUUUUAUUUUGAAAAGUCAUACGCAUUGUUUGGGCAACAAUUUAUCACCGACACAGAGAGGCAGUCGACGGCGGUAGUUGGAGACGCAGACUCAGAUACGACAUCGACAUCGACAUCGACAUCGGACUGGAACGGAGGCUCUGACUUCACCAAAUAUGGCAGAGAGCGAGCUGCACGAAAAGCCGCCACAUCAAUCACGGGCCUGACAAGCCACCUAAAUACAAUAUAAAUAUAUUGUGUAUGGGGCAUUGUAUACUGUAUAUAUAUAUAGUGUACGAGUAUAUUGUGUGUGAGGCCAGCGUCGGAGCCAGAGUCGUUAUAAUCUCGGAUAGAGCAAAUAUUUCAGAGAGCGGCACUGCACUGCCGCUGCCGCUGUCGCUGUCACUUCCUCCGGCAGGCGGCAGGCGGCAGGGUCUGGACGGACGGACGGACGGAUGGACGGAUGGACGGGUCUGUGGGAACGCUCGGACCCCCUGAUUAAUGAAGCGUUUUGUUCAACAUUUUAUGCAUAAAUUGAGGCACGUACAAUAAAUUACGCAAAAUCAUAAAUUGUAAA